AUAUUUUGAAUUAAGUAUAUUCAUAAUAUUUUUCAGACAAAGAGUUGAGAUAAUAGUUGAUGUUUGGGGCUGGUCAAAAGAGACCAACCCUGACAUUGCACACAAGGUGGAUAUGGAUUUAAAAAAGUGCCAUAAAACACUUAUUAUGAAUGAUCCUUCCGCAGGUUCACCUACGGAAA
This 179-nucleotide unclassified non-coding RNA is filed under the name uncultured fungus. RNAcentral's name for it is "sequence contains ITS1, 5.8S rRNA gene". The record is from RNAcentral. Lineage: Eukaryota; Fungi.